Molecule: ribosomal RNA, 340 nt
Filed under: uncultured Pseudomonadota bacterium
Lineage: Bacteria; Pseudomonadati; Pseudomonadota
Description: bacterial SSU rRNA
Rfam family: Bacterial small subunit ribosomal RNA
Source: RNAcentral
AAUUAACGCUGGCGGCAUGCCUAACACAUGCAAGUCGCACGAGAAAGCCCGGUUCGCCGGGCGAGUACAGUGGCGCACGGGUGAGUAACGCGUGGAUAAUCUACCUCUAUCUGGGGGGAUAACCCACCGAAAGGUGGGCUAAUACCGCAUAUUCCGGCAGUCCUGCGGGAUGGUCGGCAAAGGUGGCCUCUUCUUGAAAGCUACCGGGUGGAGAUGAGUCCGCGUCCCAUUAGCUAGUUGGUAGGGUAACGGCCUACCAAGGCGACGAUGGGUAGCUGGUCUGAGAGGACGAUCAGCCACACUGGAACUGGAACACGGUCCAGACUCCUACGGGUGGCUG